Molecule: long non-coding RNA, 893 nt
Filed under: Sinocyclocheilus grahami
Lineage: Eukaryota; Metazoa; Chordata; Actinopteri; Cypriniformes; Cyprinidae
Description: lncRNA (ENSSGRG00000000919.1)
Source: RNAcentral
AUUAUGAAGUUAAUAAGAAUAUUAAAAGCCGCUUUCGAUCUUUUGAAGGACCCCCGGAUUGAGCCUGCCCUGACAAAUGCCACAUGCUGCCCAAAAAGAGUAAUUAACAACAAACUAAUCAACCCAUCACUCAGGAGGCCAAACCCAUACGGCAUAUCCCACAGGUGCUCUCUUCUUUCUUAUUAUAUGUGUAUUUAUGUUAUAUUAUAUGUGUAUAAAAUCUGUAAUUGAUUUGCAUAAAUGCAGAGAGAGAACAGAUAGGGCUGUGAACAGGAAGAGGCCUGCGAAUGCAACUUCUCGAGCAUACAGAGCCUGGUUUCAGUGGUGGAGGUGUCAACUAUCAAUGGAUGAUUAUCUUGACUACAUUUCCAGUCAGGACUCCGAUUAUCUGUCAGUGCUGUUUCACUUGUAUGACAGUGAUGAUGAUGAAGAGGCAGAGAGACACAAGCUGGCUCAGCUGCAGCAAGACGAGAGGAGAAGAAGGCAACAGGAAAGGAUCAGUUCACUUAGGAGACAGAAACAAGAAUGUGUUCCUGGAUUCUGGAACAUCAACACCAUAGAGAUGGGAGGAUUGGGAAGGGAACCAGAACUGGAUGGCAUGUUGUAGUUUUCUUAAAAAAAAAAAAAUACUGGUACAUUUAUGAAAAUGCAUUAUUUAGUGUCAAAAACGACAUGAAUGAAUGUAGAAAUAUCUGUGUUUCAGAGAAAAAUCCAGAAGAGGAAAUACAAGAUGCAUCUGAGGGAGAUGAAGGUGAAGGUGCUGGACUGCUGGAUGGAGAACAGAUGCAGGUCAGGCUGGAGAGGGUCUGGAACGCCCUGCUUCUGCCAGAAGGACAGCGACUAGACAUGGCCAUUAAAUACAGCUCUCAUGAGUACAGGAACCAUCUGCAGGA